Molecule: non-coding RNA, 158 nt
Organism: Paramuricea clavata
Lineage: Eukaryota; Metazoa; Cnidaria; Anthozoa; Malacalcyonacea; Plexauridae
Source: the annotation of a GenBank genome assembly
AAAAAAUGGAUCCGAUGGAUCUGAUGGAUCGAAUGGAUCCAUUUUUUUUAUAUAACUAAAAUCCAAUGUAUCCAUUGUAUCCAUCGGAUCCAUUUUUUUUUAUAUAACUAAAAUCCAAUGUAUCCAUUGGAUCCAUCAGAUCCAUCGGAUCCAUUUUU